This 29-nucleotide non-coding RNA is filed under the name Rattus norvegicus (Norway rat). Lineage: Eukaryota; Metazoa; Chordata; Mammalia; Rodentia; Muridae. The record is from RNAcentral.
CAGACUCUUCUGGGACCCACUUUCAAGAA